Solanum tuberosum (potato) is the source of this 1024-nucleotide long non-coding RNA. RefSeq lists it as uncharacterized. NCBI's taxonomy places the organism in Eukaryota, Viridiplantae, Streptophyta, Magnoliopsida, Solanales, Solanaceae. The transcript has 4 exons. The record is from RefSeq and is a predicted model, not a curated record.
CACCCCUUUAGCCCUAAGUCUUUACUUUAACUUUGUACUUCUUCUGACACAUUGCAUCUAAAAUUUCAUCCACACAAAGUUCUCUCCUUCAAAAUCUUCUCUCCUCGAAUACACAUCUAAAAUCUUCUUCUUCAUGGAUCUUCAGCGAUCCAGAUUUUUCAUGGAUCUUGAAGUUUUGUUCCAGAAUCCAGGUUUUUCAUGUUAUCACAAACCUGGAUCUGAAACUUUGUUCCUUUUCAUGGAUACAGAUCUAAUAUAUCUCCCACUCUUCAAGGAUACAUGAUUCAUAGAUCAUAAUGAAUCAGCACAAGAAUUACGGUUUAUGAAGAAGUGAAGAAAAAUGACAGAAGUCAACACCAACAACAUGCUGCCCCCAGCAUAUUAUUUCAAGCGGAUCAUCCUUUGAAUCCACACAAAUUAGCAAGAACCUCAUUCUGCAGAAAAAAUCAGAGUAGGAACACUAACCUCUCUUACUGCUGUGACCUCUGUAUGAGCUGUAGGGUCAGUAUGCUUCAAACCCAUCUUAUGGCAGCUAACAACUACUUCAUUAUUGCAAACAACAUUAUUUGUCGUUUGUCAUAAAUUAGAUAUCUCUACUUAAGCAUCAUUUGAGAAGAAAACUACUCAAGCACUGCAAUAUCAAACAAAUUCAAGCCCAAUGAAUGGGAUGAUGUACAAAUUUCAACAAGAUCUGAGUAGAUUGAACACAUUGCACUGGAAAGUUAAAAGCAUUAAUCCAAAGACAUCACGACAGAAUUACCGGAUAAAGCAUAGGUUUUGUUAUUACUUCAUUGAAAAUCUCCCAUCAUAAUCCUGAUAACUACUUCAUAGAAACAUCCCCAUCAAUCUUGGCCACUAGACAGUGGUAUUGUUCCCUCCCUUGCCACCAUUUUUUCCUUGCUUGUCAUUCUUUCCUCCCUUGGUAGCUGCUGCUUGAACAUCUUUGUCAUGUCGUGCCUGAAAGUACAUGUAUAAAAAACAGGGAAGUUCUAUAAUCCAAUAAAACAAUUGCAUCAUUACUGUA